RNAcentral lists this transfer RNA (88 nucleotides) under Candidatus Cytomitobacter indipagum. RNAcentral describes it as "tRNA-Ser". It matches the Rfam family "tRNA". Rfam says of the family: Transfer RNA (tRNA) molecules are approximately 80 nucleotides in length. Their secondary structure includes four short double-helical elements and three loops (D, anti-codon, and T loops). Further hydrogen bonds mediate the characteristic L-shaped molecular structure. tRNAs have two regions of fundamental functional importance: the anti-codon, which is responsible for specific mRNA codon recognition, and the 3' end, to which the tRNAs corresponding amino acid is attached (by aminoacyl-tRNA synthetases). tRNAs cope with the degeneracy of the genetic code in two manners: having more than one tRNA (with a specific anti-codon) for a particular amino acid; and 'wobble' base-pairing, i.e. permitting non-standard base-pairing at the 3rd anti-codon position. The record is from RNAcentral. Lineage: Bacteria; Pseudomonadati; Pseudomonadota; Alphaproteobacteria; Holosporales; Holosporaceae.
GGAGAGGUGGCCGAGAGGCUUAUGGCGGCGGUUUGCUAAACCGUUAUACGUUUUCAGCGUAUCGAGGGUUCGAAUCCCUUCCUUUCCG